Danio rerio (zebrafish) is the source of this 668-nucleotide non-coding RNA. Lineage: Eukaryota; Metazoa; Chordata; Actinopteri; Cypriniformes; Danionidae. The record is from RefSeq and is a predicted model, not a curated record.
UUAAAAGAUCAGGGAAUGAGGUCAGGAAGAAGUGGCAGGACUUUUCAAGCCUAGCUAAAAGAAAAAGGGGCACUGCAGAGGACAACAAUUAAUAAAACAGGUGGUGGGCCUAAUGACGCCCCCAUUCUUACAGCAGAAGAAGAAAAGGCACUGUCAAUUCUUGGAACAACUGCCUCAGAUGGGAUUUGUGGUGGGAUUGACCUCCAUGGAGGAGAAGGGUUGCGUCAACCUGAACCUGAGUCAGGUCCAUCAUGUUCACAAGAGCAAUCAGGUUCACCUCCUAUUGACAGACAGCUACCAUCUCCCAGUCCUCCCAACAGUCCAACAGACCAGCCUCCAUCUUCAAUUGUUCAGGCUACAGCCACAACACCGCGAUUUGAGAAUAUCUGUGGUUGUAGUCAGGACUUGGUACAGCUGGAGCGAGAGAAAUUAGAUGUUCUAAAAGAUAUCAGACAAUCUCUUAAAGAGGCCAAUGAGAUGAAUUACAACUUUCAGAGGGAAAUCAUUGAACUUAAGAAGGCCAAGAUGGCUUUGGAAGAGAGGAGACUUUCACUGGAGGAGAUGAGUUUUGCAAGGCCCUCCAUUUCAGUGCCAAUUAUCUUGCCAGAUGAGUCAGAUCCUGGGGAACAAACUACAAACUUGAAUCAAUAAAAAUUGUUUAAAUGCAA